Molecule: long non-coding RNA, 1298 nt
Filed under: Sarcophilus harrisii (Tasmanian devil)
Lineage: Eukaryota; Metazoa; Chordata; Mammalia; Dasyuromorphia; Dasyuridae
Description: lncRNA (ENSSHAG00000027262.1)
Source: RNAcentral
GCCUUCUCGGAAGCCCUUCCUUGCGCGAGCUCCGAAAGCCCUGUGCCUUUUUUUUCCUUUCUGUGUCCCCUCUCAGGCUCCGUCCAGCAUCCUUCCCACUUCGCUCUUCUUCAUCCCUAUUUCCUUUAGGACUCCGACUCCCUCCCCCCCCCCCCCCCAAAAUAACUUUGUCUCCAUUCGGGCCCCGCCCCCCGCAAUUUGCUCUCGGACCCGCCCACCAGCCGCACGCGCUCUCCUUGCUUUUCCCCGCCUCCUCUCCUUGGCAGGAGGCUUUCCCUAUUUCUUGAGGCCGGAGGCCUCCUGCACUUAGCUAUCCGCGUGGACUCAAGCGGGCCUUAGGUGCCGCUCUUCCUGUCUUCUCGUGGCUUGGCCCCUCCACGAUCCCCUGUGCAGCAUAUCCUCCUUGAUCUUGGAGCUCUGGAGUAUGGCUGUAAUAUUCCUGGGAAUUUUCAUAUUGGGAUCUCUUUUAGAAGGGAGAGGAAGAGAAUAAACAUUUAUAUAAUGCCAAGAACUUGUUAAGAGCUUUUUACAAAUAUGAUCUCAUUUUAGCUUCACAACAACCCUUCAAGGAUCAGAUGAUGGUGACUGGAUGUGACAGGUUGCCCUAUUCCUUUGGCAGCCACUAUGGAAAUAAACCCUCAAGAAGGAAUUUUUUCCCACAAGAUCAUUUUCAGAAAGGGUCCAGGCCUAAGUUGAGAAGGAGUGGUCUCAGCUUGUUGAGAAUUGGUGUACACGAACUGAUGCUGAGUGAAAUGAGCAGGACCAGGAGAUCAUUAUAUACUUCAACAACAAUACUAUAUGAUGACCAGUUCUGAUGGACCUGGCCAUCCUCAGCAAGGAGAUCAACCAAAUCAUUUCCAAUGGAGCAGUAAUGAACUGAACCAGCUAUGCCCAGAGAAAGAACUCUGGGUGAUAACUAAAAACAAUUACAUUGAACUCCCAAUCCCUAUAUUUAUGCCCACCUGCAUUUUUGAUUUCCUUCACAAGCUAAUUGUACAAUAUUUCAGAGUCUGAUUCUUUUUGUACAGCAAAAUAACGGUUUGGUCAUGUAUACUUAUUGUGUAUCUAAUUUAUAUUUUAAUAUAUUUAACAUCUACUGGUCAUCCUGCCAUCUGGGGGAGGACGUGGGGGGUAAGAGGUGAAAAAUUGGAACAAGAGGUUUGGCAAUUGUUAAUGCUGUAAAAUUACCCAUACAUAUAACCUGUAAAUAAAAGGCUAUUAAAUAAAUAAAAAUAAAUAAAUAAAUAAAAAAGAGAAUUGGUGUACAUUGCUUAAUAAAUCAAAAUACUUGGAAGCUU